This 85-nucleotide transfer RNA is filed under the name Caldifarciminota bacterium 4484_18. RNAcentral describes it as "tRNA-Leu". It matches the Rfam family "tRNA". Rfam says of the family: Transfer RNA (tRNA) molecules are approximately 80 nucleotides in length. Their secondary structure includes four short double-helical elements and three loops (D, anti-codon, and T loops). Lineage: Bacteria; Pseudomonadati; Caldifarciminota. The record is from RNAcentral.
GCGAGGGUGGCGGAACUGGUAGACGCGCUGGAUUUAGGAUCCAGUCCCUCACGGGGUAGGGGUUCGAGUCCCCUCCCUCGCAUCA